This 581-nucleotide ribosomal RNA is filed under the name Trichosporon asahii. Its description in RNAcentral is "eukaryotic LSU rRNA". It matches the Rfam family "Eukaryotic large subunit ribosomal RNA", at positions 81 to 653 of the family's 3401-position model. Lineage: Eukaryota; Fungi; Basidiomycota; Tremellomycetes; Trichosporonales; Trichosporonaceae. The record is from RNAcentral.
UAGUACGGCGAGUGAGCGGGAAGAGCUCAAAUUUGAAAUCUGGCAGUCUUCGAUUGUCCGAGUUGUAAUCUAUAGAGGCGUUUUCCGUGCCGGACCGUGUCCAAGUCUCCUGGAAAGGAGUAUCAAAGAGGGUGAUAAUCCCGUACUUAACACGACCACCGGUGCUCUGUGAUACGUCUUCUACGAGUCGAGUUGUUUGGGAAUGCAGCUCAAAAUGGGUGGUGAAUUCCAUCUAAAGCUAAAUAUUGGCGAGAGACCGAUAGCGAACAAGUACCGUGAGGGAAAGAUGAAAAGCACUUUGGAAAGAGAGUUAAACAGUACGUGAAAUUGUUGAAAGGGAAACGAUUGAAGUCAGUCGUGUUCUUUGGAUUCAGCCAGUUCUGCUGGUCUACUUCCUUGGAACGGGUCAACAUCAGUUUUGUCCGGUGGAUAAAGGUAGUAGGAAUGUGACUUCUCCGGAAGUGUUAUAGCCUAUUAUCACAUACACUGGGUGAGACUGAGGACUGCAGCUCGCCUUUAUGGCCGGCCUUCGGGCACGUUCGAGCUUAGGAUGUUGACAUAAUGGCUUUAAACGACCCGUC